Molecule: ribosomal RNA, 253 nt
Filed under: uncultured bacterium
Lineage: Bacteria
Description: partial 16S ribosomal RNA
Rfam family: Bacterial small subunit ribosomal RNA
Source: RNAcentral
UACGUAGGGUGCAAGCGUUGUCCGGAAUUAUUGGGCGUAAAGCGCUCGUAGGCGGUCUGUCGCGUCGGCUGUGAAAACCCGAGGCUCAACCUCGGGCCUGCAGUCGAUACGGGCAAACUAGAGUACUGCAGGGGAGACUGGAAUUCCUGGUGUAGCGGUGAAAUGCGCAGAUAUCAGGAGGAACACCGGUGGCGAAGGCGGGUCUCUGGGCAGUAACUGACGCUGAGGAGCGAAAGCGUGGGGAGCGAACAGG